RNAcentral lists this ribosomal RNA (1106 nucleotides) under uncultured cyanobacterium. RNAcentral describes it as "bacterial SSU rRNA". It matches the Rfam family "Bacterial small subunit ribosomal RNA", at positions 391 to 1515 of the family's 1533-position model. Lineage: Bacteria; Bacillati; Cyanobacteriota. The record is from RNAcentral.
GCGACGCCGCGUGAACGAUGAAGUCUUUCGGGAUGUAAAGUUCUGUCAGCAGGGAAAAUUAUGAUGGUACCUGCAGAGGAAGCACCGGCAAACUAUGUGCCAGCAGCCGCGGUAAUACAUAGGGUGCAAGCGUUGUCCGGAUUUACUGGGCGUAAAGAGCGUGUAGGCGGUAAUAUAAGUCAAACUUCAAAUGCUGAGGCUCAACUUCAGUUUGGGUUUGAUACUAUUUUGCUAGAGAUUGGGAGAGGAAAGUAGAACUAACAGUGUAGCGGUGAAAUGCGUAAAUAUUGUUAGGAAUACCCGUGGCGAAGGCGGCUUUCUGGACCAAUUCUGACGCUGAGACGCGAGAGCGUGGGGAUCAAACGGGAUUAGAUACCCUGGUAGUCCACGCUGUAAACGAUGUACAUUAGGUAUAGGGGGUAUCGACCCCUUCUGUGCCGAAGCUAACGCGUUAAAUGUACCGCCUGGGAGUACGAUCGCAAGAUUAAAACUCAAAGGAAUUGACGGGGGCCCGCACAAGCAGUGGAUCAUGUGGUUUAAUUCGACGAUACACGAAAAACCUUACCAAAGUUUGACAUCCGCCAGAUUUCCGUGGAAGCAUGGAAUGGCCCGCAAGGGAAUGGCGAGACAGGUGGUGCAUGGUUGUCGUCAGCUCGUGUCGUGAGAUGUUAGGCUAAGUCCUGCAACGAGCGCAACCCUCGUGCUGUGUUGCUACAUUAAGUUGAGCACUCUCAGCAGACUGCCCGUGGUAAACGGGAGGAAGGUGGGGAUGACGUCAAAUCAUCAUGCCCUUUAUGCUCUGGGCCACACACAUGAUACAAUGGUCGGUACAAAGGGAAGCGAAGCCGCAAGGUGAAGCUAAUCUCAAAAAACCGACCUCAGUUCAGAUUGAAGGCUGCAACUCGCCUUCAUGAAGCCGGAAUUGCUAGUAAACGCAGAUCAGCAUGCUGUGUUGAAUACGUUCCCGGGCCUUGUACACACCGCCCGUCACACCAUGAAAGCUGGAAAUAUCCGAAGUCAGUGAGCCAACCGCAAGGAGGCAGCUGCCUAAGAUAGAGCCAGUGAUUGGGGUGAAGUCGUAACAAGGUAGCCGUACCGGAAGGUGU